This 1305-nucleotide ribosomal RNA is filed under the name Shoveliteratura triangula. RNAcentral's name for it is "16S ribosomal RNA". The stretch from base 875 to 1235 matches the Rfam family "Bacterial large subunit ribosomal RNA", at positions 2075 to 2645 of the family's 2925-position model. The record is from RNAcentral. Lineage: Eukaryota; Metazoa; Arthropoda; Insecta; Orthoptera; Tettigoniidae.
AAGUAAAGUAUUAAUAGUGAAGUAUGUAGAUAUUUAUUUUAAUAAAAAUAAUUUUAUGAUAAUGUGUUUGAGUAUAUUUUAUAGAGAGAAUUAUAGGAUUAAUAGUGUAUUAGUAUUGAGAAAGAAUUGUGAAAUAAUUGAAAAAGUAUUUAAGUAAAAGUAGAUUAUAUAUUGUACCUUGUGUAUCAGGGUUUAUUAAAAAUUUUAUAUGGAAUUAUAAGUCUCGAAUUUAAAAGAGCUAACGUAAUAUGUGAGUUAAUGUGAUAUAUUUAUUAAUAAUAUUAUGUUAGAAAUGAAAUGUUAAUCGUUUUUUAAGAUAUCUAGUUUUCUAAGAAAUGAAUUUAAUUCAGUUUAAAUCGAGUAAUUAUUUUAAUUAAUAAGUAGUUAUUUGAUUUAAAAAAUGGUUUGAGGGAUAAGCUUUGAAUUAUAAAUUAUAAUCGAUUAAAGUAUUAAUUAAAAAUGUAGGCUUUAAAUUAGUCAUCAGUUUAAUAAUGUUAUAAAUUAUUUUAUAAUAAUAUAAUUUUAUAGGAGAUUUAAUUAGUGAAUUAGAAUAAUUUAUGGAAUAAUAAUAUAUUUGGAAUAAUGAUAAAAUUAGUAUAAUAAAUUGUAUUUAAUCUCUGUUAAGGGAAUUUAUAUUAAGGAACUAGGCAAAGAUAAUAUUCGCCUGUUUAACAAAAACAUGUCUUUUUGGGAAAAAUUUAAAGUCGGGCCUGCCCACUGAUGUAUUAAAGGGCCGCGGUAUUUUGACCGUGCAAAGGUAGCAUAAUCAUUAGUUUUUUAAUUGAAGGCUGGAAUGAAUGGUUUGACGAGAUAUUAACUGUCUCAAUAUAAAAUGUAGAAUUUAACUUUUAAGUUAAAAGGCUUAAAUGUGAAUGGAGGACGAGAAGACCCUAUAGAGCUUUAUAUAUUAUAUAAUUACUUAUUUUAGGGUUAGUGGGAGUAUUUAUAAAUGUAUAUUGUGUUGGGGUGACAUAAAGAUUUAAAUAACUCUUUAUUGAAAGAUACAUUUAUUUAUGAGUGAUUGAUCCAUUAUUAUUGAUUGUAAGAUAAAGUUACCUUAGGGAUAACAGCGUAAUUUUUUUUGAGAGUUCGUAUCAACAAAAAAGAUUGCGACCUCGAUGUUGGAUUAAGGAAUAUGAUUAGGUGUAGAAGUUUAAUUAAUAGGUCUGUUCGACCUUUAAAUCCUUACAUGAUCUGAGUUCAAACCGGUGUGAGCCAGGUUGGUUUCUAUCCUCAUUAUAAGGAAUAUUUUAGUACGAAAGGACCAAAUAUUUGAAAUAAUUUUGUUAGCAAUGAUUAUUAUUA